This 253-nucleotide ribosomal RNA is filed under the name uncultured bacterium. RNAcentral describes it as "partial 16S ribosomal RNA". It matches the Rfam family "Bacterial small subunit ribosomal RNA", at positions 524 to 776 of the family's 1533-position model. The record is from RNAcentral.
UACGGGGGGGGCAAGCGUUGUUCGGAAUUACUGGGCGUAAAGGGCUCGUAGGCGGCCAACUAAGUCAGACGUGAAAUCCCCAGGCUCAACCUGGGAACUGCGUCUGAUACUGGAUGGCUUGAAUCCGGGAGAGGGAUGCAGAAUUCCAGGUGUAGCGGUGAAAUGCUUAGAUAUGACAUAGAACACCGAUAGCGAAGGCAGCUUGCUACACAAUUAUUGACACUGAGGCUCGAAAGCGUGGGGAUCAAACAGG